This 576-nucleotide ribosomal RNA is filed under the name uncultured bacterium. RNAcentral describes it as "bacterial SSU rRNA". It matches the Rfam family "Bacterial small subunit ribosomal RNA", at positions 35 to 602 of the family's 1533-position model. The record is from RNAcentral.
GUUAGCGGUGUGGAUUAGGCAUGCAAGUCGCGCGUGAAAGUCUUCGGACGAGUAAAGCGGCGAAAGGGUGAGUAAUACGUAGUCAAUCUAUCCUCGAGACCGGGAUAACUACUGGAAACGGUGGCUAAUACCGGAUGGUCUCGUCGGGGGGCAUCCCCUGGUGAGUAAACGGUAGCGCAAGCUUCUGCUCGAGGAGGGGACUACGGGCUAUCAGCUUGUUGGUGAGGUAACGGCUCACCAAGGCGAUGACGGCUAGCCGGUCUGAGAGGACGAUCGGCCACACUGGGACUGAGACACUGCCCAGACUCCUACGGGAGGCUGCAGUCGAGAAUCUUCCGCAAUGGGCGAAAGCCUGACGGAGCGACACCGCGUGCAGGAUGAAGGCCUUCGGGUUGUAAACUGCUGUCACGCUAUAGGAAAGGGCUGGUGUGAAUAGCGCCAGUCUUGACUAAAGCGAGAGGAAGCACCGGCUAACUCCGUGCCAGCAGCCGCGGUAAGACGGAGGGUGCAAACGUUGUUCGGAAUCACUGGGCAUAAAGAGCACGUAGGCUGCGCUCUAAGUCAGGUGUGAAAUCC